CGACGAACUUCUUUAUCACCGAGUGCUUGCACUCACCGAUAAAGAGUUGAGUGGCGAACGGGUGAGUAACACGUGGGCAACCUGCCCAAAAGAGGGGGAUAACACUUGGAAACAGGUGCUAAUACCGCAUAACCAUAGUUACCGCAUGGUAACUAUGUAAAAGGUGGCUAUACUACCGCUUUUGGAUGGGCCCGCGGCGCAUUAGCUAGUUGGUAGGGUAAAGGCUUACCAAGGCAAUGAUGCGUAGCCGAAUUGAGAGGUUGAUCGGCCACAUUGGGACUGAGACACGGCCCAAACUCCUACGGGAGGCAGCAGUAGGGAAUCUUCCACAAUGGGCGAAAGCCUGAUGGAGCAACGCCGCGUGGGUGAAGAAGGUCUUCGGAUCGUAAAACCCUGUUGUUAGAGAAGAAAGUGCGUGAGAGUAACUGUUCACGUUUCGACGGUAUCUAACCAGAAAGCCACGGCUAACUACGUGCCAGCAGCCGCGGUAAUACGUAGGUGGCAAGCGUUAUCCGGAUUUAUUGGGCGUAAAGGGAACGCAGGCGGUCUUUUAAGUCUGAUGUGAAAGCCUUCGGCUUAACCGGAGUAGUGCAUUGGAAACUGGGAGACUUGAGUGCAGGAGAGGAGAGUGGAACUCCAUGUGUAGCGGUGAAAUGCGUAGAUAUAUGGAAGAACACCAGUGGCGAAAGCGGCUCUCUGGUCUGUAACUGACGCUGAGGUUCGAAAGCGUGGGUAGCAAACAGGAUUAGAUACCCUGGUAGUCCACGCCGUANACGAUGAAUGCUAAGUG
This 790-nucleotide ribosomal RNA is filed under the name uncultured bacterium. RNAcentral describes it as "bacterial SSU rRNA". It matches the Rfam family "Bacterial small subunit ribosomal RNA", at positions 64 to 822 of the family's 1533-position model. The record is from RNAcentral.